RNAcentral lists this ribosomal RNA (582 nucleotides) under Triticum aestivum (bread wheat). RNAcentral describes it as "partial small subunit ribosomal RNA". The record is from RNAcentral. Lineage: Eukaryota; Viridiplantae; Streptophyta; Magnoliopsida; Poales; Poaceae.
AUGGAUAUAGUAGGACCUAUUAAUCCGCCAUCAUCAAAGGGGCACAAAUUUAUCCUGGCUGCCACCGAUUACUUCUCUAAAUGGGCCGAGCUUAUACCAUUAAAAGAGGAUAAGGGAGAGCACGUGGAGCACUUCAUAAGAACACACCUCAUAUAUCGCUUCGGAGUUCCUUCCCGUAUCAUGUCUGACAACAGGGGACCAUUCAAAAAUAAACAUGUCGAUAAGUUAUGCUCGAAAUUCAAAAUAAUUCAUCACUAUUCUACGGCUUAUAAUCCGGCAGCUAAUGGACAGGCGGAAGCUUUUAAUAAAACUCUCUGCAAAUUGUUAAAGAAAGUCGUGUCUAGAAAUAAGCAUGAGUGGCAUGAGAAACUUCUUGAGGCCUUGUGGGCUUAUAGAACCACAACACGUACACCAACUGGAAUGACACCAUACUCCCUCGUAUUUGGAGGAGAGGCAGUUCUGCCAUUAGAGGUACAAAUUACCUCGCUUAGAGUUGCUAUUCAGGAGAAACUUUCUGAAGAAGAGGCCAUAAAAUUACGCCUCGAGGAACUCGAAAUGCUCGAAGGAAAACGCCUUCAGGCA